ACACUCCUGCGGGAGGCAGCAGUGGGGAAUUUUGGACAAUGGGCGAAAGCCUGAUCCAGCAAUGCCGCGUGCAGGAUGAAGGCCUUCGGGUUGUAAACUGCUUUUGUACGGAACGAAAAAGCUCCUUCUAAUACAGGGGGCCCAUGACGGUACCGUAAGAAUAAGCACCGGCUAACUACGUGCCAGCAGCCGCGGUAAUACGUAGGGUGCGAGCGUUAAUCGGAAUUACUGGGCGUAAAGCGUGCGCAGGCGGUUAUGUAAGACAGAUGUGAAAUCCCCGGGCUCAACCUGGGAACUGCAUUUGUGACUGCAUGGCUAGAGUACGGUAGAGGGGGAUGGAAUUCCGCGUGUAGCAGUGAAAUGCGUAGAUAUGCGGAGGAACACCGAUGGCUAAGGCAAUCCCCUGGACCUGUACUGACGCUCAUGCACGAAAGCGUGGGGAGCAAACAGGAUUAGAAACCCGUGUAGUCCC
This 472-nucleotide ribosomal RNA is filed under the name uncultured organism. RNAcentral describes it as "partial 16S ribosomal RNA". It matches the Rfam family "Bacterial small subunit ribosomal RNA", at positions 333 to 797 of the family's 1533-position model. The record is from RNAcentral.